UAAUUGCUGUCACCCAGGUAAAGCUGGAUUGUUUCUUCCAUGGUAAAUUCUCUCCCACACAACCCUUUGACCUUCAGGCAGUGAGAGCAGCAGGGUUUCUCAUCUCAUGAUUUAACUGAAGAAAAUAACUACUUGAAGAGGAAGUGCUUUGAAAUAAACAAUGUCUCUGAAUUAGAAAACUAAACAACUGGUUUUUUACCACAAACAGGGACUCCUGGGAAUAUUUGCCUGGAAUUAACAAAAGAUGCAACAUUUGAAUAACUAAGCUUCUGGGGGAAAAAAACCAAUCUGAUAUUAAUUGAGAAGUGCACUGAAUAAGCAGCCUUCAUAAAACUCACGGACAAAACUCCGUAUUGAGUCGACUACAUCAAAGACAGUCUGCGAUGAGGUUAGUGCAUUUGUUAAAGUCCUGGAUGCAUCCUUUGAAGGUGAGUUAUUGCAAAUGGUGUCAUUGUGGAAAAGGGACAAUUAACUUGGAUGAUCAGUGGGUGGUGACUAUUGCCAUCGCUGCAUAGUUUGGAUUUACACACAGCAAGGGUCAAACACUUCACACCCUUCAUUGCAGAAAUGAACCGUGUAGAGGACUCAGUGGCCUAAAACACAGCACAGGCCUACAUUUUUCUAUCUGUCAAAAGAUUUCAGAAGUAAUUCAUUGUUACAGCUCCCUGGAGUGAGAGUCUGCUUGUCCAUCUGAUUUUCCUGACUGAGCGCUUUAAACAUUCUCUGAGGAGAAAACUGUUGUAGUCUUGUUUCCAAAGCAUAAUAGUAAAGACGGGAAGUGUGAAACCAUUUGGAAUCCUUCUUUCCUGCUGUCAUAUUUUAUCACUACUCGUGUGUUACGUUCAUGAGCAUCUCUUGAUUGCAGGCCUCAGAGCUAAUAUCAUUUCAGGACGCUGGCUGGUGCCCCUCUGAAGGAUCUCUGGAUUUCAGAAAUCAGAUAUUUCACAUAAAGUUAAAAAAAUGCCUC
Calidris pugnax (ruff) is the source of this 967-nucleotide long non-coding RNA. RefSeq lists it as uncharacterized. The record is from RefSeq and is a predicted model, not a curated record. NCBI's taxonomy places the organism in Eukaryota, Metazoa, Chordata, Aves, Charadriiformes, Scolopacidae. The transcript has 3 exons.